Molecule: long non-coding RNA, 721 nt
Organism: Gallus gallus (chicken)
Lineage: Eukaryota; Metazoa; Chordata; Aves; Galliformes; Phasianidae
Source: Ensembl
UUUUCACUUUACUAAGAGCAGAAUCUUGCUCCUCUUUCUCUUUUCUGGCAUUAUUGUUGCAUGGAAAUAUAGCUUCUGAAUCUACGCCGUAAUGACUGUGAUGACUUCUCUCCUCCUAUCCCAUCUUUCAGAAGAAGCUAAUAACAGGAGUUUCACCCUUAGGUUGGACAAAAUGAAUGUCAAUGGCAAAAAUAUGCUUAUUGAAAGAGAAGUAGACUAUGAAAUCAUCUGCAGAAACAGACAAGGUCACAAUAGAAGUGUGAAAGUAAAAUAUUAAUCAACUGGAAUGGAAUGGAAAUCCCAAGGUAACACAAGAAACAAGGACACAAAAGGUACUAUGUGAUGCUGAACGUUCAUAUCGUAGAGGACUUCAUGAUUAGUAAAAUUAGUACUUUCUACUGUUACCACCAUUAUAAAAUAGUUCUCUACACAUGGUUCCUUAAAAAUCCUGCAGUAAUCAGACAGACUACAGGCUAAAGUAGAGAAUUCAAGCAACCUGGCAUCGAAGAUAAUAUUGGAAACAUGAUUCACAUUUUAAAACUUGCCGUUUCUUCUGCUUAGACUGUAUUAUUAUUGUGUUUGUCAUGUGUUCGCACAUUUUCAAAUGAGUUGGGUUGACAGAGAAUAUUCUUUGUAAAGGUGAACACGUAGGUGACUUUUGGCCUAAUUUGUCUUGUUCCUCUGUAAAAAUGUAGAAGUCUCCACAGUUUUUCUUUCCUCU